AUCAGAGGAUGGAAGGAGAAGAAGCUCUCCUUUGGAGGGAAAGAAGUGUUGUUGAAAGCUGUUAUUCAAGCCAUUCCUUCAUAUGCCAUGCUAGUCUUUAAACUACCAAAACAAAUUUGCAAUGCGAUAACAACCGCUAUGUCACAGUACUGGUGGGGAGAUGAGGAUGAGAAGAAGCACAUGCACUUGUUCGCGUGGUGGAAGAUGUGUGUGCCAAAGAGCAACGGAGGUAUGGGUUUCAGUGAUGUACACUGUUUCAACCUGGCUCUCCUAGCUAAACAGUGCUGGAGACUGCUAGCAGAACCAGACUCUUUGUGUGCCAGAGUAUUGAGGGCAAAGUAUUUCCCGGACGACAAU
This 357-nucleotide ribosomal RNA is filed under the name Triticum aestivum (bread wheat). RNAcentral's name for it is "partial small subunit ribosomal RNA". Lineage: Eukaryota; Viridiplantae; Streptophyta; Magnoliopsida; Poales; Poaceae. The record is from RNAcentral.